CAAGAAAAAAUAAAAAUAAAAAAUCAAAUUCCAAAUAGUUUAAUUUGUUAAUCAAAAUGGUUUCUAAAAAUAAUAUUUUUGUUUACCUUUCUUUGGUUAUUCUACUAAUAAUAUCCUCACAAAUUGUUGCAAGGGAGAUGAAUUCUGAGGCCCCUGCUCCACUUACCCAAGCAAUGAUUGGAAACACCACUAGUGAAGCCAAGAGAGUGGCUUUUCUAGGGCGCCAUUUACGGAAGGGUCUUGGUAAAAUUUUCAAAGCUGGCAAAACUAUAUUUUGUAACCAAUGCACAACUUGCAAAGGCCUUUGUGGCUAUUGUUGUGUCUAAAGCUAAGAUGAGAAAUCCGCAAUCUCCUCUUUAACCACAUGCUUUCUGAAAAUACAUCUUUAAGUUUAUAUGAAAGCCUAUAUAUAAUUAAGACUUAUAUACUUGUAUUGGUGUGAAAAAUAAAGGGCAGUUAUGAAUAGAGUCCCUGUUCACUUUUCCUCUAGUAAAACUACUUGUGUGUUGUUUUGUUUUGUCACGUUUUUUAUAAAUUGUUGCAACUUGCAAUAAGUCAUGUGUAUGUACUUUUAAUUGGUUUAAUGAUCAAAUAGUGUUUAUGUACCAAGUUGGCUAUU
Solanum tuberosum (potato) is the source of this 619-nucleotide long non-coding RNA. RefSeq lists it as uncharacterized. The record is from RefSeq and is a predicted model, not a curated record. The transcript has 2 exons. NCBI's taxonomy places the organism in Eukaryota, Viridiplantae, Streptophyta, Magnoliopsida, Solanales, Solanaceae.